This 432-nucleotide ribosomal RNA is filed under the name uncultured bacterium. RNAcentral's name for it is "partial 16S ribosomal RNA". It matches the Rfam family "Bacterial small subunit ribosomal RNA", at positions 29 to 506 of the family's 1533-position model. The record is from RNAcentral.
AACGAACGCUGGCGGCAUGCCUAACACAUGCAAGUCGAACGAGACCUUCGGGUCUAGUGGCGCACGGGUGCGUAACGCGUGGGAACCUGCCCUUAGGUUCGGAAUAACUCCCCGAAAGGGGUGCUAAUACCGGAUAAUGUCUUCGGACCAAAGAUUUAUCGCCUUUGGAUGGGCCCGCGUUGGAUUAGCUAGUUGGUAGGGUAAAAGCCUACCAAGGCGACGAUCCAUAGCUGGUCUGAGAGGAUGAUCAGCCACACUGGGACUGAGACACGGCCCAGACUCCUCCGGGGGGCAGCAGGGGGGAAAAUGGGACAAUGGGCGAAAGCCUGACCCAGCAAUGCCGGGGGAGUUAUGAAGGCCUUAGGGUUGUAAAGCUCUUUUCCCCGGAAUGAUAAUAACAGUCCCGGGAGAAAAAGCCCCGCCUAACUCCGU